RNAcentral lists this ribosomal RNA (453 nucleotides) under uncultured Bifidobacterium sp. Its description in RNAcentral is "bacterial SSU rRNA". It matches the Rfam family "Bacterial small subunit ribosomal RNA", at positions 173 to 640 of the family's 1533-position model. Lineage: Bacteria; Bacillati; Actinomycetota; Actinomycetes; Bifidobacteriales; Bifidobacteriaceae. The record is from RNAcentral.
CUCCAGUUGGAUGCAUGUCCUUCUGGGAAAGAUUCAUCGGUAUGGGAUGGGGUCGCGUCCUAUCAGCUUGAUGGCGGGGUAACGGCCCACCAUGGCUUCGACGGGUAGCCGGCCUGAGAGGGCGACCGGCCACAUUGGGACUGAGGUACGGCCCAGACUCCUACGGGAGGCAGCAGUGGGGAAUAUUGCACAAUGGGCGCAAGCCUGAUGCAGCGACGCCGCGUGCGGGAUGACGGCCUUCGGGUUGUAAACCGCUUUUGACUGGGAGCAAGCCCUUCGGGGUGAGUGUACCUUUCGAAUAAGCACCGGCUAACUACGUGCCAGCAGCCGCGGUAAUACGUAGGGUGCAAGCGUUAUCCGGAAUUAUUGGGCGUAAAGGGCUCGUAGGCGGUUCGUCGCGUCCGGUGUGAAAGUCCAUCGCUUAACGGUGGAUCCGCGCCGGGUACGGGCGGG